Molecule: unclassified non-coding RNA, 646 nt
Filed under: Hevea brasiliensis (rubber tree)
Lineage: Eukaryota; Viridiplantae; Streptophyta; Magnoliopsida; Malpighiales; Euphorbiaceae
Source: RNAcentral
GAGACCACCACUUCCACCUGGUCCCCCUCCUUUUCAACAGGAUGGUGCUAGACUGCUUGCUCCUCAAAAGCCAUCAUAUGUCAAAUCAGCUGCUUCAACAGUUAUUAAGAGGCCUCUAGCUCAGCAUACACCAGAACUUACAUCUAUGGUCCCUGCAUCUGUGCGUGUGAGGAGAGAAUCUGCGCUCCCAAAACCCAAGCCAAAGUCAUCUACUGCGGUUACAAUCAACCAGCCUGCAGUAACUCCGCCUGUUGUCAAGCAUGAAUCUACAAGCACACCUGCACCAAAACCUCAAAGCAUUGAUGACUCGUAUACAGCAUUCUUGGAGGACAUGAAAGCUCUUGGUGCUCUCGAAGGAUGAAGUGACAUCAAAUAGGAGAGAGGAAGAGGAAACAAGUGGCUGUUGACAAUCUGAUGAGUUUGAUAUCUCUGUGACCAUGUCUUGUGCUACUCGAGUGUCCACAACUUUAUGGUGCUUUGAUGUAUCGACCAUCUCAUUCUUUCUUCGUGUGUAUGAUCUAUGAUUCAUCUGUGUUCUGAUUUUAUCUUCCUCAGCAUUUUGUCGCCUCUAAUGAGCAGUUGAUAUGCGUUAGUCCAGAGGAAGUUGGAAAACAUAUUGUAAGAUGGAUUAUUUCAAGGAUCUUUC